GACGAACGCUGGCGGCGUGCUUAACACAUGCAAGUCGAACGGAAAGGCCCUGCCUUUGUGGGGUGCUCGAGUGGCGAACGGGUGAGUAACACGUGAGUAACCUGCCCUUGACUUUGGGAUAACUUCAGGAAACUGGGGCUAAUACCGGAUAGGAGCUCCUGCUGCAUGGUGGGGGUUGGAAAGUUUCGGCGGUUGGGGAUGGACUCGCGGCUUAUCAGCUUGUUGGUGGGGUAGUGGCUUACCAAGGCUUUGACGGGUAGCCGGCCUGAGAGGGUGACCGGCCACAUUGGGACUGAGAUACGGCCCAGACUCCUACGGGAGGCAGCAGUGGGGAAUAUUGCACAAUGGGCGGAAGCCUGAUGCAGCAACGCCGCGUGCGGGAUGACGGCCUUCGGGUUGUAAACCGCUUUCGCCUGUGACGAAGCGUGAGUGACGGUAAUGGGUAAAGAAGCACCGGCUAGCUACGUG
This 468-nucleotide ribosomal RNA is filed under the name uncultured bacterium. RNAcentral describes it as "partial 16S ribosomal RNA". It matches the Rfam family "Bacterial small subunit ribosomal RNA", at positions 28 to 507 of the family's 1533-position model. The record is from RNAcentral.